Non-coding RNA from Meleagris gallopavo (turkey), 456 nucleotides. Lineage: Eukaryota; Metazoa; Chordata; Aves; Galliformes; Phasianidae. The record is from RefSeq and is a predicted model, not a curated record.
AAUGGAAGGCUGAGUGACUUUGUCUUUGCAGGCCUCCUUUCCCUGUGAGGUAGGAAUACGGCGCUACGGGGGUUUAACCGAGUUGAACGGUGCUUUUGUUCCGAGGGAACGGGGCUGUCUCCUCAGCUGGCCUGUUGUGUUCACCUCCGCACUUUGGAACGUGCCCUUGGACUUGAGACCUGAAGUUUCUCAGAUCAAGAGAUUCAGGUUCCAGCGUUGGGAUAACUGCACUGAGCUAUGAUGCAAGCACAUGACUUGUUUAGGCAUAUGCGGAUUCCUGAACUUGUGGAUGUCAGGCAGUAUGUGCGCACCCUUCCGACAAACACCCUGGUGGGUUUUGGUGCUUUCGCAGCCCUCACAACCUACUGGUACGCAACAAGACCAAAGGCACUGAAGCCACCGUGUGACUUAGCAAUGCAGUCUGUGGAAGUAGUGGGUGAAGAGAAGGCUCCAAGG